Molecule: ribosomal RNA, 366 nt
Filed under: uncultured eukaryote
Lineage: Eukaryota
Description: partial 18S ribosomal RNA
Rfam family: Eukaryotic small subunit ribosomal RNA
Source: RNAcentral
CAAUAGCGUAUAUUAACGUUGUUGCAGUUAAAAAGCUCGUAGUUGGAUUUCUGGAGGGAGCGUCGACCCGUAUUUACGAGUGCGUGACGUCUCUGUCCAUCCUUGCGGGAAGGCACGGCAUUGAUUUGUUGUGUCGGAUCGCAUCAUUUACUGUGAAAAAAUUAGAGUGUUCAAAGCAGGCUUUCGCUUGAAUACAUUAGCAUGGAAUAAUAAGAUAGGACUUUGGUGCUAUUUUGUUGGUUGAGCCUAAAGUAAUGAUUAAUAGGGAUAGUUGGGGGCACCUGUAUUGCGUUGUCAGAGGUGAAAUUCUUGGAUUUACGCAAGACAAACAGCUGCGAAANGGNNNGCCAAGGAUGUUUUCAUNAA